RNAcentral lists this ribosomal RNA (422 nucleotides) under uncultured archaeon. Its description in RNAcentral is "partial 16S ribosomal RNA". It matches the Rfam family "Archaeal small subunit ribosomal RNA", at positions 323 to 746 of the family's 1478-position model. The record is from RNAcentral.
CUACGGGGUGCUGCAGUCAGGGAUCUUUUGCAAUGCUCGAAAGAGUGACAAAGCGAGCCAGAGUGUUUCUCAUAUAGAGAAACUUUUGUCAGCUGUAAAAAGGCUGACGAAUAAGGACUGGGCAAGACUGGUGCCAGCCGCCGCGGUAAUCCCAGCGGUCCAAGUCGCAGCCACUUUUAUUGGGUCUAAAACAUCCGUAGCUUGUCUUGUAAGUCUCUUGUGAAAUUCUGUCUCUCAAGGAUAGAGCGUGCAAGAGAUACUGCAUGGCUAGAGACUGGGGGAUGUGAGGAGUACAGUUGAGGUAGUGGUAAAAUACGUUAAUCUCGACUGGACUAACAACAGCGAAGGCACCUCACAACUACAGUUCUGACAGUGAGGGAUGAAGGCUAGGGGCGCGAAACGGAUUAGAUACCCUUGUAGUC